CCUACGGGAGGCAGCAGUGAGGAAUAUUGGUCAAUGGGCGCGAGCCUGAACCAGCCAAGUAGCGUGAAGGAUGACUGCCCUACGGGUUGUAAACUUCUUUUUUAAAGAAAUAAAACGUGGCACGUGUGCCUUUUUGCAUGUACUUUAUGAAUAAGGAUAGGCUACCUCCGUGCCAGCAGCCUCGGUAAUACGGAGGGUCGGGGCGUUGUCCGGAUUUAGUGGGUUUAAAGGGAGCGUAGAUGGGUUGUUAAGUCAGUUGUGAAAGUUUGCGGCUCAACCGUAAAAUUGCAAUUGAUACUGGCAGUCUUGAGUACAGUAGAGGUAAGCGGAAUUCGUGGUGUAGCGGUGAAAUGCUUAGAUAUCACGAAGAACCCCGAUUGCGAAGGCAGCUUACUAAACUGUGACUGACAUUGAUGCUCGAAAGUGUGGGUAUCAAACAGGAUUAGAUACCCGUGUAGUC
RNAcentral lists this ribosomal RNA (460 nucleotides) under uncultured bacterium. RNAcentral's name for it is "partial 16S ribosomal RNA". It matches the Rfam family "Bacterial small subunit ribosomal RNA", at positions 338 to 795 of the family's 1533-position model. The record is from RNAcentral.